AGGUGGGAGGAUUGCUUGAACCGGGAGGUGGAGGUUGCAGUGAGCUGAGAUCACGCCACUGCACUCCAGCCUGGG
This 75-nucleotide microRNA precursor is filed under the name Pan troglodytes (chimpanzee). Its description in RNAcentral is "miRNA (ENSPTRG00000046192.1)". The record is from RNAcentral. Lineage: Eukaryota; Metazoa; Chordata; Mammalia; Primates; Hominidae.